This 253-nucleotide unclassified non-coding RNA is filed under the name uncultured Caryophanales bacterium. RNAcentral describes it as "uncultured Bacillales bacterium contains 16S-23S intergenic spacer region". It matches the Rfam family "Bacterial small subunit ribosomal RNA", at positions 524 to 776 of the family's 1533-position model. The record is from RNAcentral. Lineage: Bacteria; Bacillati; Bacillota; Bacilli; Caryophanales.
UACGUAGGGGGCAAGCGUUGUCCGGAAUUAUUGGGCGUAAAGCGCGCGCAGGCGGUUGCGUAAGUCAGAUGUGAAAGCCCAGGGCUUAACCGUGGAGGGUCAUUGGAAAUUGGGGAACUUGAGUGCAGAAGAGGAGAGUGGAAUUCCACGUGUAGCGGUGAAAUGCGUAGAUAUGUGGAGGAACACCAGUGGCGAAGGCGCCUCUCUGGACUGUAACUGACGCUGAGGCGCGAAAGCGUGGGGAGCGAACAGG